RNAcentral lists this ribosomal RNA (406 nucleotides) under uncultured bacterium. RNAcentral describes it as "partial 16S ribosomal RNA". It matches the Rfam family "Bacterial small subunit ribosomal RNA", at positions 30 to 526 of the family's 1533-position model. The record is from RNAcentral.
AUUGAACGCUGGCGGCAGGCCUAACACAUGCAAGUCGAACGAGUGGCGGACGGGUGAGUAAUGUCUGGGAAACUGCCUGAUGGAGGGGGAUCACUACUGGAAACGGUAGCUAAUACCGCAUACCCUCGGAUGUGCCCAGAUGGGCUUAGCUAGUAGGUGGGGUAAUGGCUCACCUAGGCGACGAUCCCUAGCUGGUCUGAGAGGAUGACAAGCCACCAUGGAACUGAGCCACGGUCCAGACUCCUACGGGAGGCAGCGUUGGGGAAUAUUGCACAAUGGGAGCAAGCCUGAUGCAGCCAGGCCGCGUGUAGGAAGAAGGCCUUCGGGUUGUAGAGGACUUUCAGCGGGGAAGCGUUACCCGCAGAAGAAGCACCGGCUAACUCCGUGCCAGCCGCCGCGGUAAUAC